AUUGAACGCUGGCGGCAGGCCUAACACAUGCAAGUCGAACGGUAACAGGAAGCAGCUUGCUGCUUCGCUGACGAGUGACGGACGGGUGAGUAAUGUCUGGGAAGCUGCCUGAUGGAGGGGGAUAACUACUGGAAACGGUAGCUAAUACCGCAUAAUGUCGCAAGACCAAAGAGGGGGACCUUCGGGCCUCUUGCCAUCGGAUGUGCCCAGAUGGGAUUAGCUUGUUGGUGGGGUAACGGCUCACCAAGGCGACGAUCCCUAGCUGGUCUGAGAGGAUGACCAGCCACACUGGAACUGAGACACGGUCCAGACUCCUACGGGAGGCAGCAGUGGGGAAUAUUGCACAAUGGGCGCAAGCCUGAUGCAGCCAUGCCGCGUGUAUGAAGAAGGCCUUCGGGUUGUAAAGUACUUUCAGCGGGGAGGAAGGGAGUAAAGUUAAUACCUUUGCUCAUUGACGUUACCCGCAGAAGAAGCACCGGCUAACUCCGUG
RNAcentral lists this ribosomal RNA (490 nucleotides) under uncultured bacterium. RNAcentral's name for it is "partial 16S ribosomal RNA". It matches the Rfam family "Bacterial small subunit ribosomal RNA", at positions 30 to 507 of the family's 1533-position model. The record is from RNAcentral.